Stegastes partitus (bicolor damselfish) is the source of this 240-nucleotide long non-coding RNA. RefSeq lists it as uncharacterized. The record is from RefSeq and is a predicted model, not a curated record. The transcript is spliced from 3 exons. Lineage: Eukaryota; Metazoa; Chordata; Actinopteri; Pomacentridae.
CAUAGACUAUGACAUUGACUACGCCACUGAAUCCCCUAUUUUUAUCGAAUACGAUGACUCGUUGUUCACCGCCAUGGAAGAAUCCACUGCUUGUGAAUCGAAUCCUUGCUUCAAUGGUGGCUCCUGCCAAAGUGAAUCAGCUACAGAAUUCACAUGCUCAUGUCCUGAGCCCUACACAGGGACAAGGUGCCAGAAAGUGAAAAAUGUUUGCAAGAAUGUCAAAUGUGGUUUUGGUGACUG